Long non-coding RNA from Hydra vulgaris (swiftwater hydra), 1087 nucleotides. RefSeq lists it as uncharacterized. Lineage: Eukaryota; Metazoa; Cnidaria; Hydrozoa; Anthoathecata; Hydridae. The record is from RefSeq and is a predicted model, not a curated record.
UUUUUUAAAUAACAAGGACAUUCAUUGGCAUUUUUUUACUAGAAAAUUUCAGACUUUAUUUUUAUGAAUGAUGUCUUUAUAAAUCAGUUAAAAUGACUAUAAUUAAAAGUGUAUCUUAAUAAUGAUGUUGUUAUUUCACUUGGCGGUUGAAUUGUAAGUGAUUUCAGACUAUUCAACUUUGCAGAAGUAAGGAUCUUAUUCCGUCAGAAGUGCCAACUUUAAGAGAUAUUUUGAGAAAAGGUCUGCUUAUCCAAGAAGCUCUACUUCGAGAAGAUGUUAACAGAAGGAAUAUUUGAUUGAGAGACUUUUCUCGACUACUAGCUGAUAUCGUUUUUCAGCAGUAGAUGAAAGCAAAUGCUCUUUUUAAACCUCCAGUGGUUAUUGGAAAGAACUUUGAUGGAAAAAAUUGAGUUUUCCUGGAACAAGAUCAAAGAUAUAGCACAUGGGAAAGCUUCUCAGACACACGUGUCUUUUUGGGAAUCAAAACUGGAUGAAUUUCUAGAUAUAACAUGUGCAAGUGUGAAAUUAUGUUAUGUAACGAGUUGUGUUUGAAAACUUAUUCUUGCGUCAAACAAGUACAUAUUAAAUGAACUUGUGUAAAAGAGAAAAAAAUUCCAAAGGUUGAACUUCUAUGGCUUAAUGCCCAAAGGAAAAAAAGAGAAUCUAUUUCAAAAUACCAGAUGGGUUUCAAUGAUAUUAAAGAGACCGCGAAACAGUUUUCGCGAGAGGAGAAAAAAAUGAAGAGAAAGUCUAGAGUAGAGAAAAAAUUAGAAAUGGAAAAAAAAAUUUAAGGUAGAAAAUGACAACGUUGUUGAAUGUUUAAUUGAGGAUUAUUCAGAUUUAAAAAAGGAAAAGAUUUCAGAAGAUCCGCUUCAAAACAAGAUUUGGAAAAAAAUGUCAAUAAGUCAUAUUGCAGAAGCUUCAAUAAGAUAUGAUAUUUCACCAGUAGCAACAUCAGCUAUUAUUACAUCCUUUCUUCUAGACCUUAUUGAAGCAAAGUAUUUGAUGCUUGAUAUGUCUUAUUUACCUGUUGAUCCUAUGAAAGUAAGAAAUAAUGGAGAGAGUAAUAAUGUAUGAAGAAAAGUUA